GACGAACGCUGGCGGCGUGCUUAACACAUGCAAGUCGAACGGAAAGGCCCUGCUUUUGUGGGGUGCUCGAGUGGCGAACGGGUGAGUAACACGUGAGUAACCUGCCCUUGACUUUGGGAUAACUUCAGGAAACUGGGGCUAAUACCGGAUAGGAGCUCCUGCUGCAUGGUGGGGGUUGGAAAGUUUCGGCGGUUGGGGAUGGGCUCGCGGCUUAUCAGCUUGUUGGUGGGGUAGUGGCUUACCAAGGCUUUGACGGGUAGCCGGCCUGAGAGGGUGACCGGCGACAUUGGGACUGAGAUACGGCCCAGACUCCUACGGGAGGCAGCAGUGGGGAAUAUUGCACAAUGGGCGGAAGCCUGAUGCAGCAACGCCGCGUGCGGGAUGACGGCCUUCGGGUUGUAAACCGCUUUCGCCUGUGACGAAGCGUGAGUGACGGUAAUGGGUAAAGAAGCACCGGCUAACUACGUG
Molecule: ribosomal RNA, 468 nt
Filed under: uncultured bacterium
Lineage: Bacteria
Description: partial 16S ribosomal RNA
Rfam family: Bacterial small subunit ribosomal RNA
Source: RNAcentral